UAGGGAAUCUUCCACAAUGGGCGCAAGCCUGAUGGAGCAACACCGCGUGAGUGAAGAAGGGUUUCGGCUCGUAAAGCUCUGUUGUUGAAGAAGAACGUGCAUGAGAGUAACUGUUCAUGCAGUGACGGUAUUCAACCAGAAAGUCACGGCUAACUACGUGCCAGCAGCCGCGGUAAUACGUAGGUGGCAAGCGUUAUCCGGAUUUAUUGGGCGUAAAGAGAGUGCAGGCGGUUUCUUAAGUCUGAUGUGAAAGCCUUCGGCUCAACCGAAGAAGUGCAUCGGAAACUGGGAGACUUGAGUACAGAAGAGGGCAGUGGAACUCCAUGUGUAGCGGUGGAAUGCGUAGAUAUAUGGAAGAACACCAGUGGCGAAGGCGGCUGCCUGGUCUGUAACUGACGCUGAGACUCGAAAGCAUGGGUAGCGAACAGGAUUAGAUACCCUGGUAGUCCAUGCCGUAAACGAUGAAUGCUAGGUGUUGGAGGGUUUCCGCCCUUCAGUGCCGCAGCUAACGCAAUAAGCAUUCCGCCUGGGGAGUACGACCGCAAGGUUG
This 550-nucleotide ribosomal RNA is filed under the name uncultured bacterium. Its description in RNAcentral is "bacterial SSU rRNA". It matches the Rfam family "Bacterial small subunit ribosomal RNA", at positions 355 to 896 of the family's 1533-position model. The record is from RNAcentral.